Molecule: transfer RNA, 80 nt
Filed under: Perkinsus olseni
Lineage: Eukaryota; Perkinsozoa; Perkinsida; Perkinsidae
Description: tRNA-Leu
Source: RNAcentral
GACAGUUUGACCGAGUGGUCCAAGGCGUUGGCUUCAAGCGUCUGUCCGAAAGGGCGUGGGUUCGAAUACAAAAGCUGUCA